CCCUUAGAUGUUCUGGGCCGCACGCGCGCUACACUGACGAAGUCAGCGAGCAUCUCCUACGCCGAAAGGUGCGGGGAAUCUUGUGAAACUUUGUCGUGCUGGGGAUUGAUUUUUGAAAUUCUUGAUCAUCAACGAGGAAUUCCUAGUAAGCGCAAGUCAGCAGCUUGCGUUGAUUACGUCCCUGCCCUUUGUACACACCGCCCGUCGCUACUACCGAUUGAAUGGUUUAGUGAGAUUUUUGGACUGGAACUCUCUUGUUCAGCAAUGAACGAGAGGGACUCUGGGAAGCUAUUCUAACUGUAUCAUUUAGAGGAAGUAAAAGCCGUAACA
RNAcentral lists this ribosomal RNA (330 nucleotides) under uncultured eukaryote. RNAcentral describes it as "partial 18S ribosomal RNA". It matches the Rfam family "Eukaryotic small subunit ribosomal RNA", at positions 1470 to 1796 of the family's 1831-position model. The record is from RNAcentral.